CCUGCGGAGGGAUCAUUACCGAGUUUACAACUCCCAAACCCCUGUGAACAUACCUAUAAUUUGCCUCGGCGGACUCAACGACGGUGCUCCGAGAAAUCGGUCGCCGCUCGCUGCCAGAGGAACCCCAAACUCUAUGUAUUCUUGUGGAUCUUCUGAGUAAAACAAAACAAAUAAAUCAAAACUUUCAACAACGGAUCUCUUGGUUCUGGCAUCGAUGAAGAACGCAGCGAAAUGCGAUAAGUAAUGUGAAUUGCAGAAUUCAGUGAAUCAUCGAAUCUUUGAACGCACAUUGCGCCCGCCAGUAUUCUGGCGGGCAUGCCUGUUCGAGCGUCAUUUCAACCCUCAAGCCCCCGGGCUUGGUGUUGGGGAUCGGCGAUAGUCGCCGUCCCCCAAAUCUAGUGGCGGUCUCGCUGUAGCCUCCAUUGCGUAGUAGCUAACACCUCGCAACUGGAACGCGGCGCGGCCAAGCCGUUAAACCCCCAACUUCUGAAUGUUGACCUCGGAUCAUGUAGGAAUACCCGCUGAACUUAAGCAUAUC
This 538-nucleotide ribosomal RNA is filed under the name Fusarium decemcellulare. RNAcentral describes it as "eukaryotic LSU rRNA". The stretch from base 180 to 333 matches the Rfam family "5.8S ribosomal RNA". The record is from RNAcentral. Lineage: Eukaryota; Fungi; Ascomycota; Sordariomycetes; Hypocreales; Nectriaceae.